GAUGAACGCUGGCGGCGUGCCUAAUACAUGCAAGUCGAGCGAACGGACGAGAAGCUUGCUUCUCUGAUGUUAGCGGCGGACGGGUGAGUAACACGUGGAUAACCUACCUAUAAGACUGGGAUAACUUCGGGAAACCGGAGCUAAUACCGGAUAAUAUUUUGAACCGCAUGGUUCAAAAGUGAAAGACGGUCUUGCUGUCACUUAUAGAUGGAUCCGCGCUGCAUUAGCUAGUUGGUAAGGUAACGGCUUACCAAGGCAACGAUGCAUAGCCGACCUGAGAGGGGGGUCCGGCCCCACGGAACUUGGAACCGGGCCAGACUCCUAAGGGAGGGAGGAGUAGGGAAUUUUUCGCAAUGGGGGAAAGCCUUACGGGGCCAAGGCGGGGGAGGGAAGGAGGUGUUCGGGUUGUAAAACUCUUUUUUUAGGGAAAAAAAAAUGUGUAAAGAAAUGUGGACCUUUUGACGGGUCCUAAUCAAAAAGCCCCGGCUAAAUUCGUG
This 497-nucleotide ribosomal RNA is filed under the name uncultured bacterium. RNAcentral's name for it is "partial 16S ribosomal RNA". It matches the Rfam family "Bacterial small subunit ribosomal RNA", at positions 28 to 507 of the family's 1533-position model. The record is from RNAcentral.